This 761-nucleotide long non-coding RNA is filed under the name Dermacentor andersoni. Its description in RNAcentral is "uncharacterized LOC126516863". The record is from RNAcentral. Lineage: Eukaryota; Metazoa; Arthropoda; Arachnida; Ixodida; Ixodidae.
GGCCGUUGCGGCUGCCUAAGCCAUGGUCCCUUUUAAUCAGUCCGCGACUCUACGUUUUCGGGCGCGGAAACAAUCAUAACCUGCAGUAGUCUAGCCGACAGUGAUCGCACUCUAACGCGGUGCUCCGCCAGCUUCAUCAAAGAACACUGUUCUUGCUUCCACCGGAGGCACGUUUCGGGAAAUAUGGGCCAACUGGCUAGCACUUGCAGGUCUCGUUAUGGGUGGGGCGCCAGGCGUGAGGAGCGCCGACUGGCUCAGGAACCCUCGGCGGGAACGGAGCCACCAGAGCCACUGGCUUCGCAAGGUGGUGGAAGCAUCUCGCGAGCAGCUGGACCGAGUAAAUCCCCUUCGCAAGAAGCACAGCCUGCCGUCGACCCCACCAGCCACCACGACAUCGAAGACUUCUCCACAUCGGCUAGCGUAAUGACACAGCUGUCCCUGGUUCUCAUGCAACCUGGCGCUGGUCCGAGCCAGAAGCCUGACGAUAUCGGGCAGGUCUCGCCGGCGAACGACCAUGAGACGGCAGUGCCUGACGAUGCCGUGCAGACCCGCAGCUUGUUCUGCUUCGGCUUCUGAAACACGGCAACAAGCCCAGCUUUGACAGCCCCCACUGUCGGCUCUACUUGGAGGGUGGCCAGGCUGCAAGGAUGGAGAUCUCUUCUUUCGCACUCUCUCAUAAUCAUCCCUAGAGCUGUCUUCGUAUAGCUUAUCAUGUCUGACGAGGUGACCGUGCCGAAUAAAGUGAUGUCCAUGUGCUUUCA